GGCCAGGUAGCUCAACCUGGGAGAGCGCUCGGCUGAAGACCGAGCUGUUGCAGGUUCAAAUCCUGCCCUGGCCA
Molecule: transfer RNA, 74 nt
Filed under: Candidatus Bathyarchaeota archaeon
Lineage: Archaea; Thermoproteati; Candidatus Bathyarchaeota
Also listed under: 1 other name
Description: tRNA-Phe
Rfam family: tRNA
About the family: Transfer RNA (tRNA) molecules are approximately 80 nucleotides in length. Their secondary structure includes four short double-helical elements and three loops (D, anti-codon, and T loops).
Source: RNAcentral